GCGGACCUACGGGGCCGCAUAACCUUUCAAACCCCACAUGGGUUUGAAGCUAAAACGGAAGACAGAAA
Molecule: non-coding RNA, 68 nt
Filed under: unclassified sequences
Description: L2-Alphaproteobacteria ribosomal protein leader
Rfam family: L2-Alphaproteobacteria ribosomal protein leader
Source: RNAcentral